AACGAACGCUGGCGGCAGGCUUAACACAUGCAAGUCGAGCGCACUCUUUUAGAGUGAGCGGCAAACGGGUGAGUAACGCGUGGGAAUCUACCCAUCUCUACGGAAUAACACAGAGAAAUUUGUGCUAAUACCGUAUACGUCCCUCUGGGAGAAAGAUUUAUCGGAGAUGGAUGAGCCCGCGUUGGAUUAGCUAGUUGGUGAGGUAAAGGCUCACCAAGGCGACGAUCCAUAGCUGGUCUGAGAGGAUGAUCAGCCACACUGGGACUGAGACACGGCCCAGA
Molecule: ribosomal RNA, 281 nt
Filed under: uncultured Bartonella sp.
Lineage: Bacteria; Pseudomonadati; Pseudomonadota; Alphaproteobacteria; Hyphomicrobiales; Bartonellaceae
Description: partial 16S ribosomal RNA
Rfam family: Bacterial small subunit ribosomal RNA
Source: RNAcentral